Molecule: transfer RNA, 58 nt
Filed under: Alpheus japonicus
Lineage: Eukaryota; Metazoa; Arthropoda; Malacostraca; Decapoda; Alpheidae
Description: tRNA-Ser
Source: RNAcentral
AGAGGAUAGCAAGAAGAAACCCAGGUUUCUAACCUUUGGUUUAAGCGGUUAAACUCCG